GUCGGGAAUCUUGUGCAAUGGGCGAAAGCCUGACACAGCAACGCCGCGUGAGGGAUGAAGGCCCUCGGGUCGUAAACCUCUGUCGGGAGGGAAGAAAGGUCGCUGUUCUAAUACAACAGUGACUUGACGGUACCUCCAAAGGAAGCGCCGGCUAACUCCGUGCCAGCAGCCGCGGUAAUACGGAGGGCGCAAGCGUUGUUCGGAAUCAUUGGGCGUAAAGCGCGCGUAGGCGGCUUGGAAAGUCGGGUGUGAAAUCCCGGGGCUCAACCCCGGAACUGCACUCGAAACUUCCUAGCUAGAGUCUCGGAGAGGUAGGCGGAAUUCCCGGUGUAGAGGUGAAAUUCGUAGAUAUCGGGAGGAACACCAGUGGCGAAGGCGGCCUACUGGACGAUGACUGACGCUGAGGUGCGAAAGCGUGGGGAGCAAACAGG
RNAcentral lists this ribosomal RNA (431 nucleotides) under uncultured bacterium. RNAcentral's name for it is "bacterial SSU rRNA". It matches the Rfam family "Bacterial small subunit ribosomal RNA", at positions 354 to 776 of the family's 1533-position model. The record is from RNAcentral.